Molecule: unclassified non-coding RNA, 241 nt
Filed under: Hevea brasiliensis (rubber tree)
Lineage: Eukaryota; Viridiplantae; Streptophyta; Magnoliopsida; Malpighiales; Euphorbiaceae
Source: RNAcentral
GUGUCUUGGCAAUUCAAUAUAUGCGUAUAUAUAUCUGAUGAAUGGGACGGCACAGCAAAGCAUGUUAUGCUAGAAAUUUGUUUAUUUACAUUUAAAUUAUUUAUUUUUAUAAUUCAUAUUGUUUCUUAUCUAACAAAAUGAGGACUGGUUAGAUAGCUUGUGCGGUUUUUAGAAUAAGCUUCUUGGAAAACAUUGGAGACACUAGAGAGAGAGGGAGAAAGUAGCCCAAAAAAAAAAAAAA